RNAcentral lists this ribosomal RNA (481 nucleotides) under Tomocerus punctatus. Its description in RNAcentral is "partial large subunit ribosomal RNA". The stretch from base 345 to 481 matches the Rfam family "Bacterial large subunit ribosomal RNA", at positions 2473 to 2610 of the family's 2925-position model. The record is from RNAcentral. Lineage: Eukaryota; Metazoa; Arthropoda; Collembola; Entomobryomorpha; Tomoceridae.
ACAUUUCUUUUAGAUUAUUUAAAAAGUAAAGUCUGCCCACUGUUUAAAUGAAGGGCCGCGGUAUUUUGACCGUGCAAAGGUAGCAUAAUCAUUAGUCUUUUAAUUGGAGAAUGGAAUGAAUGGCUUAAUGAUUUUUUUCUAUUAUCUUUAUUAAAAAAUAAUUUUGAUUUUAAAUGAAAAUAUUUAAUUAAUUUAAUUAGACGAUAAGACCCUAUAGAAUUUUAUUUUUAAUAUACUAAAUAAUAUAUAAAAAGUUUAAAUGGGGCAUUUUUUGAUUAAUUAAAAUUUCUAAUUAAUUAUUUAAAAAUAUCUUUAUUUAAAUAUUUUUAAAAAAUUACCUUAGGGAUAACAGCGUAAUAAUUUUUAAGAGUUCAUAUCGACAAAAUAGUUUGCGACCUCGAUGUUGAAUUAAAAUACUUUUAUGGAGCAGCUUUUAUAAUAAGUAGUCUGUUCGACUAUUAAAAUUUUACAUGAUUUGAGU